RNAcentral lists this ribosomal RNA (207 nucleotides) under uncultured bacterium. RNAcentral's name for it is "partial 16S ribosomal RNA". It matches the Rfam family "Bacterial small subunit ribosomal RNA", at positions 568 to 774 of the family's 1533-position model. The record is from RNAcentral.
CGCGUAGGCGGUUGUGUUAGUCAGACGUGAAAUACUUCAGCUCAACUGAAGAAAUGCAUUUGAUACUGCAUAACUAGAGUACAGGAGAGGGAAAUGGAAUUCCCGGUGUAGAGGUGAAAUUCGUAGAUAUCGGGAGGAACACCAGUGGCGAAGGCGAUUUCCUGGCCUGAUACUGACGCUGAGGCGCGAAAGCGUGGGGAGCAAACA